Molecule: long non-coding RNA, 717 nt
Organism: Austrofundulus limnaeus
Lineage: Eukaryota; Metazoa; Chordata; Actinopteri; Cyprinodontiformes; Rivulidae
Exons: 2
Source: RefSeq, a predicted model, not a curated record
GAGGCUAAACACAAGCUAAACUAGCAGAAAAAAAACUAAAUACACAUACACAAAAAGCUAAAACGGACAUGACUAGCUGAAACAGAUUGAAAACAAGCUACAACAAACAGACAAUGGUGGACAGGGACACAGGUGGAAAUGGACACUGGUGAAUAAAGUCUAGUGGACAGGGACACAGGUGGAAAUAGAAACUGCUAAACAGGGACAUUAGUUGUAAAUAGACACUAAUGGACAUUGUCAUCGGUGGACAGGGUCACUGGUGGAUAAAGACUGGUGGGCAGGGACACUGGUGGGCAGGGACACUGGUGGGCAGGGACAUUGGUGGAAAUUGACACUGGUGGGCAGGGACAUUGGUGGAAAUGGACACUGGUGGGCAGGGACACAGGUGGAAAUGGACACUGGUGGACAUUGUCAUUGGUGGACAGGGGCACUGAUGGAUAAAGACUGGUGGACAAGGAUAUUAGCAGAUCAAGACUGGUGGAAAGGGACAUUAGUUGUAAAUAUACACUAGUGGACAUUAUCAUCAGUGGAAAGAGACAUUGAUGGGUAAAGACUGGUGGACAGGGACAUAGGUGGACAUUGUCAUCAGUGGACAGAGGCACUGAUGGAUAAAGACUGGUGGACAGGGAUAAUGGAGGAAAUGGACACUGGUGAAUAAAGACUGGUGGACAGAGACAUUAGUGAAUAAAGACUGGUGGACAGGGACAUUAGUGUAAA